This 2135-nucleotide long non-coding RNA is filed under the name Bemisia tabaci. RNAcentral describes it as "lncRNA ENSSSA1NGG011239". Lineage: Eukaryota; Metazoa; Arthropoda; Insecta; Hemiptera; Aleyrodidae. The record is from RNAcentral.
UGAUCGAUAUCUCAAUGCUUGUUCAUUUACAAUGCACAUUCAUCUAAAGGUUUGUUGCAUCAAGAUACGUUAAUUAAUUGACCUGCGUUAAGUUAUAAUGAUCGAAGUUACCACUAUGCUACGUAAAUGUUCUGGGCGAAUCCUGCAAAUGCAGAUACACAUCGGUGACGUUCAGUGGGUGUGUGCAUGAGUUGCCAAAUGGUUUUUCUCCUGGUGGUCGUGGAAAAACGGUCAGCGCCAACGCGAGUUCUUAGCUCCCGUUCAAGGCUGUCCAGAGGGUGGAGCCAAAAUACGUUCUCGUAUAAAUACAAAAGCACGACCAUUCUCAGCUUCGUAUAAGAUAUUAGUAGAUUUAGUUUGUUUGCCGAUCACCGCCAAAAACCCACACCCUUCCAAAAUGAUGAAAUUGUUGGUUCUCGUCGCCGCCAUCUUGGCCGUUGCUUUCGCCGCCCCACAAUACUUAGGCGCCUACCCCUACGCCGCCGCUCCUUUGGCCUCCGGCUACCCCAUCCCCGCCCCCUACUCCAUUUACAGCCACUCCAUCGCCGAACAUGUUGAGCCCGUCGAGCAGUGGGGAUACAAAGUUGCCUUCUAAGCUUCCCCCAAAAUCAACCUCUCUCCUUCUUCAGCUGUGAUCUACUUUAGAACAAACUUAGCUAUUAAGUCACUUAUACCUGACGAUCAACACUCAAUCUCCGCGACAUGCCAGUCGCAUCCAAGUUACUCCUAGUUUAGGUUUUGGUUUUUUUAUCUUUAAUUUUGUCCUACUUUUUCCUUUUUUCUGUCUACAACAAUAAAACUGUAAAUCCGAAUGAUGGCUCUUGUAUUCUUUACAUUUCCUAAAGACAGAGAAAAAAACAUACCUUUCUACCGCCUCCGUAAUGGAUUCAGCUCAUCAAACCGAAUUUCGAUGUAUACUAUAAUUAUCACGUUUUUUCAAGUAAAAAAUAAUUUUAGUCACAUAUAUGAAUAUUGGUUCAUUGUUUAUAAAAAACAAUAAACAGUUCUUGAUACUUUUAAAGAUAUUUCAAUCAAUUUCAAAGUAAAUUUUGUGAGGCAAUUUUAUCUCAUUUAAAAUGUGUUUGCUGAACAAUUUAUCUGUUUGUUUCUUUCAAAUUUUGAAGUAUACUUAGAUCUUCAAGGGUGCAAAAAAAGUGCAUUUAAGAAUGAAUUUUUUAAGAAAAGCUCACGAACUUAUGAUGAUUCUUUAAACUAUACUGUAAAUGUUCCUUUUUAAUUGAAUGUUUCCUUAGUGUGAAAAAUGCACUAGUUGCGUGACAACAUUUCAAAUGCUUCUGCUGGCGCAUGAACGUGAAGUGAAUAGUUUACUUAAUGACUUGCAUUAACAGGGUUUUAAUUUUGGCCUGUCGAUGACAAGGAUAAUUUACAGCUCUGAGACAUUUUCCUCAUUCAGAUAUUUAACGUAAAUAAAGUUUGAAACAAACGAGUGAAAAUAUACAUCAAGCGUGUAUUUUUUCAACCCGAAAUUCAUUUUACCUUAAACGAAUACGUACGGUAAAAUAAAGAAAACUAGUGCAAGUCAUGCAUUGAAAUUUAUACAACGUUAUUUACCGCGAGUGAGCACUCAGUAAAAUUCUCGAUUAAUGAUAAUUUUUGCCUCGAAAAAGUGACAUAUUUUAAACACAUUGAAACCUUGAGAUUGAGAAUGGUAUACUUGUACUUUCACUGUAGGGUAAUCCUUUCCUUUCACUGCUUUUUAUCUGGAAGGAGAUUGAUAGCGACAAAAACUACAAUUGGUGCGAAUCCAGUACUAUGCGAAAUUUUCUCACUAAAGUAACACCACGCAACGCUGUUCCCAGGAUCUAAAACUGUAGGGAAAAAGGUCGUAUGAACACUUGAGCGUUACCAAAUUUAUUCUGAUCAUAUACAGAUUUUUGCCGUACUUUUGAGUUUUUUACUUCAUCCGAAAAUUUUUUGCGCAAUUCAAUCUAGUAAUUCUUAAAAUUCAAGGGAACAUAUUUGUAACUUCUCUCCAAAAGAGAUAUUUAUUCAAAAUAAAUUUGACAACGCUUGCAUUAGUAUACGGCGUUCUUCCUUAGCACGGCAAUAUUUCCUUCAAUCCAUGCCGCCAAAUGAUAAAAAUUGGGACUCUGACCGGCGAAAAUAAGCGAAAA